AAAAGAAACUAACAAGGAUUCCCCUAGUAGCGGCGAGCGAAGCGGGAACAGCCCGGUAUGAAAAUCUCUUUGGAGAGUUGUAGUCCGAACACGCCUGGGUGGUCAGUGCGGGCAAGUCGUCUGGGAUGACGCGCCAUGGAGGGUGAGAGCCCCGUCCAACCUGCACAGGAUUUCACUCGUUACGGUGUGUUUUUAAACCGAGUCGGGUAGUUUGGGAAUGCUGCUCUAAUUUUGGUGGUAAAUCUCAUCAAAGGCUAAAUAAAAGUGGGAGACCGAUAGCGAACAAGUACCGUGAGGGAAAGAUGGAAAGAACUUUGAAAAGAGAGUGAAAAGCACUUGAAACCGUCAUGGGGGAAGCGAAUUGCGUUAGUGAUGUCUGUGGCUGUUCAGCUUUUGGUUUUUGGAGUGGCGAAAGUCAUUUCAUAGAAAGUGCAUUCUGGCACAGACAGGCCUGCGUGGCUGGCGGGAGUGUGACGAGACGGCGAAUGAGCGUGGCCGGGUCAUUUUAUGAUUCUGCUGCGCCUGUUCUGUCGACACUUGGCACUCGUUCGCUGGUGAGGGCUCCCCUGAAACACGGGUGAGGACGCUGGCGAAAUGACGCAAUACGACCCGUCUUGAAACACGGACCAAGGAGUCUAGCACGGCUGCGAGUCGAAGGGUGUGAAAAACCCAAUGGGCGCAGUGAAAGCGAAAACGUUGUUCUACGGGGCAUCGGCAAAGCCAAAUUGGGGAGGCGUUGUGGUUCUACCAAAAUGUCCUACCUUGAGCAGGUGUGCUGGGACCCGAAAGAUGGUGAACUAUGCCGGAGUAGGGCAAAGCCAGAGGAAACUCUGGUGGAGGCUCGUAGCGAUGCUGACGUGCAAAUCGCUCGUCGAACUUGGGUAUAGGGGCGAAAGACUAAUCGAACCAUCUAGUAGCUGGUUCCCUCCGAAGUUUCUCUCAGGAUAGCGGGCCGACAAAAACAAUGAAUGAAUGUUGUUCUGUGUGGUAAAGCGAAUGAUUAGUGCAUUUGGGGGCCGAAGGCCUUCGGGCGAUUCUCAAACUUUAAAUGCGCAGGGGGGCGGCUGCUUAAUAUGAGCCUGCUCUUUGAAAAACGUCGGCUCCGUGGGCCACUUUUGGUAAGCAGAACUGGCGAUAAGGGAUGAACCUUAAGCGCGGUUAAGGCGCCACAUUGCCCGCUUAUAGAGCCCACAAAAGGUGUUGAUUCAUUUAGACAGCAGGACGGUGGCCAUGGAAGUCGGAAUCCGCUAAGGAGUGUGUAACAACUCACCUGCCGAAUGAAUUAGCCCUGAAAAUGGAUGGCGCUGAAGCGGGCAGCCGACACCGCGCCGUUCGGACAAACGUAUGAAAAUAGGAAUCUUUUUUGGUCCGAAUGAGUAGGAGGGCGUGGCGGUCUGUGACGCAGGCGUGGGUGCAAACCCCGCUGAAACGGCCGCUAGUGCAGAUCUUGGUGGUAGUAGCAAAUAUUCAAGCGAGAACCUUGAAGGGCGAAGUGGGGAAGGGUUCCAUGCUAACAUUGAUUGGGCGUGGGUGAGUCGUUCCUAAGCCGAGUGGCAACUGCUAAGUAACGGCGAAAGGGAAGCGGGUUAAAAUUCCCGCACGCAGAUAUGGAGGCGGCAACGCAAGCAGAGGCGAAGACGCUGGCGAAGGCGCUGGGCAGAGUUUUCUUUUCUGUUUGACCGGCAUCGUGCUGUGUGGAAUCCGAUUAUCGGGAGAAACACGCACGGGUAGGGGCAGAGCGUCGGGUCAUAUCCGGCGUCCGGCUCGCCUUCGACGGCCCUUGAAAAUUCGCCCGCGGUUUUUGGGCUCAUUCUCUUUUGUUCCCCCGCUUGGAAUCCGUUUUAAUCGGGGGGCCAUCGUUUCUGGGCCUGAAUAUUCAAUUUCAUGCUGCGACGUACCGAUAACCGCAUCAGGUCCCCAAGGUGAACAGCCUCUGCUCAAUAUGAAUAAUGCAGGUAAGGGAAGUCGGCAAAAUGGACCCGUAACUUUGGGAAAAGGGUUGGCUCUAGUGAGGUGGGGGUCACUUGGCGUUUGUCAUCUUUUUGACCUACUCCAAAAGGGGGCUCUUGUGUGCUUGUUCGAGGCCCGUCUGUCUGGCUAGGGAGUUUCUUGCUUGGAUUCUUUUCUUCUUUUUCUGGGAAAUUCUUAGCCUCUUUCUGCGUGUUUUCUCUUUACCUCAUGUGUGUGCUGUUGGAAUUGUAAAAGGUUGCGAUGGCAUGUGUGUGUGUGUGUAUGAGAGGGGGCAUUGGGAGGGAGUUGGGGUUUUCUGGAGGGAGGGGAAAAGGCCGGGCGCUUGGAGGCACCCUGGCCGGGAUGGGCCAUGAGCAGGCGCGGAGGAUGCAUUCCCCGCCCUCAGCAUACCUCAGACUAGAACUGCAACGGGCAAAGGGAAUCCGACUGUUUAAUUAAAACAAAGCAUUGCGAAGGCCGUGGCCGGUGAUGACGCAAUGUGAUUUCUGCUCAGUGCUCUGAAUGUCAAAGUGAAGAAAUUCAAUCAAGCGCGGGUAAACAGCGGGAGUAACUAUGACUCUCUUAAGGUAGCCAAAUGCCUCGUCAUCUAAUUAGUGACGCGCAUGAAUGGAUUAACGAGAUUCCUACUGUCCCUAUCUGCUUCUAGCGAAACCACAGCCGAGGGAACGGGCUCGGCGGAAUCGGCGGGGAAAGAAGACCCUGUUGAGCUUGACUCUAUUCUAAUUUUGUGAAGCAAGUUAGGAGGUGUAGAAUAGGUGGGAGCUGUUCUUCCUUGUGUGGGGCAGCGGCCGUGAAAUACCACUACUCUUAAUCUUGCUUUACUUAGGGCGUAAAACUGUACGGGACUAGAAAAAGUGGCUCGUUUGUAACAGAAGGAGUGCAUCUUUUUUUUAUAAUCCUAUGAUUUUUAACUGCAUCAAGCGCGCGCUCCGUUUAUCGGGGUGUGCGUGAACUGGGCGCCCAACAGAUUUAGGAGGGGAGUUUGGCUGGGGCGGCACAUCUUCUACAAGACAACGAAGGUGUCCAAAGAUAAGCUCAGUGAGAACAGAAAUCUCACGUAGCGCAAAAGGGUAAAAGCUUGUUUGAUUUUGAUUUUCAGUGUGAGUUGAAAACGCGAAAGCGUGGCCUAUCGAUCCUUUCACGAUUCGAGAUUUGAAGCGAGAGGUGUCAGAAAAGUUACCACAGGGAUAACUGGCUUGUGGCGGCCAAGCGUUCAUAGCGACGUCGCUUUUUGAUC
Molecule: ribosomal RNA, 3208 nt
Filed under: Thorea sp.
Lineage: Eukaryota; Rhodophyta; Florideophyceae; Thoreales; Thoreaceae
Also listed under: 1 other name
Description: LSU rRNA
Rfam family: Eukaryotic large subunit ribosomal RNA
Source: RNAcentral